This 254-nucleotide ribosomal RNA is filed under the name uncultured bacterium. Its description in RNAcentral is "partial 16S ribosomal RNA". It matches the Rfam family "Bacterial small subunit ribosomal RNA", at positions 524 to 776 of the family's 1533-position model. The record is from RNAcentral.
UACAGAGGAGCCAAGCGUUGUCCGGAUUGACUGGGCGUAAAGCGCACGCAGGCGGACGCGCGCGUGGGGUGUGAAAUCUGGCCGCUUAACGGCCAGGCGCCAUCCCAUACGGCGCGUCUGGAGCAAUGCAGAGGUCGGUGGAAUUGCCGGUGUAGUGGUGAAAUGCGUAGAGAUCGGCAGGAACACCCAGGGGGAAACCAGCCGACUGGGCAUUUGCUGACGGCUGAGGUGCGAGAGCGUGGGGAGCGAACCGG